AAGAGAAUAAAUAGCGUGACCAUAAAUACAGAAAACACACAAAGACUCUUCAGCUGCAAACAACAGCUUCCUUGGUAGUGUAUGCAGCCUGUUUCUUGUAUGGGCUGCUCUAAGACAGGCCAUUCAGAUGUUU
Small nucleolar RNA from Rhinopithecus roxellana (golden snub-nosed monkey), 133 nucleotides. Its record names the gene SNORA70. It matches the Rfam family "Small nucleolar RNA SNORA70". Rfam says of the family: snoRNA U70 seems to be exclusive to mammals and is a member of the H/ACA class of snoRNA which contain H (ANANNA) and ACA box motifs. The record is from Ensembl. NCBI's taxonomy places the organism in Eukaryota, Metazoa, Chordata, Mammalia, Primates, Cercopithecidae.